GAACAGGUAAGCUAAUAUUUUUUAAAGCUAUUGGGCUCAUAACCCAACAAUGGAGCUAUUCCCCUAUUCA
RNAcentral lists this transfer RNA (70 nucleotides) under Tritonia iocasica. RNAcentral's name for it is "tRNA-Met". The record is from RNAcentral. Lineage: Eukaryota; Metazoa; Mollusca; Gastropoda; Nudibranchia; Tritoniidae.